GUGGGUGGGCCUCAUGCAAUCAGGCUGGGGUUUCCUCGAGAAGAAGAAACACUCCUCAGGAUUUCACAUAGAAACAAUGCCUGUUUCUAAUCUGCAGAAGACUGGACAUUAACUCAUAUGAAUUUCCAGUCUGCUGGCCUCACCUAGACGAUUUGGACUGCCAGCUCGAAGUACAUUUUUCACAGGUCUGGAGACGGAGAAGAGUUUUGUCUCAAGAUGGAUCAUACCCAGCGUAUCCCUCAAACCUGAUUUAGACAAGAUAACCAAAUGAUCACAAGAACUUACAGUCUUCUCUAGUCUUCUCAAAAUCCAAAGUUCCCACAGUGUGAAGCCUCCUGGAACCCUCCACACCAGUCAUGCCGUCUGCUGUUUACCUUGGGGAGCUCCCUCAAGCCUCAUAAGCCAGGAAGGGAGAUACUGUCAUCCAUCAUUGACAUGUCACAGCUUUUGAAUUUCAGGCAGCAAGAAAUGCCUUCCCUCCACUGCCAACUGAAUACAGAGCCCAUCUUCUUUCAGCAAGGAAACCUGCUCUUUGCCAGGGAAGCAAUAUGUGUGACGACUGAGCACCCAAGCUCUAAAGUAAGUCCGCCUGCCUCUAAAGCAAGGUCCUAUCUCUCACUGCCUAUUGAACUUGGGAACUUUGGUUGGUAGCCUCCAACUCCUCAUCUGAAAAAACAAUGACCUCUCAGGGUCAUUAGGUCAUAUUAAAGCAUAGGAAUAAUGACUGGGACAUGAUAAGCUCUGGAAGACAUCAUUGCAAUUGUUGACCUGGAAGAUACUAAAAUAUAUAUUUUCAGUGUGCUCUGUAGACCACUUCCUCAGAAUCUCACUGGACCUGGAACAUUAGAUUAUGCUCAACAGUCCAUUCUGAUUCAGUAGAUCUAGAGUGUGACCUGAGGAUUUACUUCCCAAGGGGAGCUGAUGAUGCUGGACCAGGUCAACCACUGAGUGGCAAGGACCUGGGGUACUUUAUUAGCUGCCCAUUCACGGGAUCUGCUUUAGACCCACCAAGUCAGUAACCCUGGGGAGAAAACCCUGGAGACUGAAUGUUUAACUUUCUCUCAGAGAGAUUCUAAGGCAUGCUAACACUUGAGAAGGCCUUGAGAGAGGCUUCCGUUGGUUCUAUUAACAUUAUUUGACAGUUCAAUUCACUGGAGAUACAGCCUGAUCGAAUUCCUGAUUCAUCAUCAUGACUUCAGGGUAAAAUGCUUCUGAUGCUAAGACACCCUCAUCCUUUUCUGUAACAGAGGUAAUGAGUCAAUUUUCCAAACAGGGUAAGUAGAUAAUCC
This is a long non-coding RNA of Marmota monax (woodchuck), 1289 nucleotides long. RefSeq lists it as uncharacterized. Lineage: Eukaryota; Metazoa; Chordata; Mammalia; Rodentia; Sciuridae. The transcript is spliced from 4 exons. The record is from RefSeq and is a predicted model, not a curated record.